Molecule: unclassified non-coding RNA, 425 nt
Filed under: soil metagenome
Description: partial contains 5.8S ribosomal RNA, internal transcribed spacer 2, and large subunit ribosomal RNA
Rfam family: 5.8S ribosomal RNA (bases 1-120)
Source: RNAcentral
GAUGAAGAACGUAGCGAAAUGCGAUAAGUAGUGUGAAUUGCAGAAUUCCGUGAAUCAUCGAAUCUUUGAACGCACAUUGCGCCUUCUGGUAUUCCGGAAGGCAUGCCUGUUCGAGAGUCAUUAACAACCGUUUCGAUCCCUUUCUUUCAGAAAUUACAAAGAGGAAAAGGGUUUGGUUAUGGUGGAGGAGGGAAAGGGAGCGUUUAUCCUGUAAAAAAAGAGGCUGUGUUCCGCCUCCCCCCCAAAAUUGUACAGGCGGUCGUGUGCGCCCACGCAUCGAGGUGUUGUAAAAGCUGCCACGGCACUUUUCACCUGUGCAGUGCGAGAUUGGCCAGCCGGUUUAAAAACCCCUCCAAACAAUCAAAGGUUGACCUCGGAUCAGGUAGGGAUACCCGCUGAACUUAAGCAUAUCAAUAAGCGGAGGA